Molecule: ribosomal RNA, 253 nt
Filed under: uncultured bacterium
Lineage: Bacteria
Description: partial 16S ribosomal RNA
Rfam family: Bacterial small subunit ribosomal RNA
Source: RNAcentral
UACGAAGGGGGCUAGCGUUGCUCGGAAUCACUGGGCGUAAAGGGUGCGUAGGCGGGGUUUUAAGUCAGGGGGGAAAUCCUGGAGCUCAACUCCAGAACUGCCUUUGAUACUGAAGAUCUUGAGUCCGGGAGAGGUGAGUGGAACUGCGAGUGUAGAGGUGAAAUUCGUAGAUAUUCGCAAGAACACCAGUGGCGAAGGCGGCUCACUGGCCCGGUACUGACGCUGAGGCACGAAAGCGUGGGGAGCAAACAGG